Long non-coding RNA from Lolium rigidum, 1554 nucleotides. RefSeq lists it as uncharacterized. The record is from RefSeq and is a predicted model, not a curated record. Lineage: Eukaryota; Viridiplantae; Streptophyta; Magnoliopsida; Poales; Poaceae. The transcript has 3 exons.
UUCUUCCCCGCGGCGGCGGCUGCGAAUCCCCGCCCCGCCUCCUUCCUGGCGGCAGCACUGCAUCUUCGUGCCGCCUUCUUCGGCGGAACCACCUCAUCGCCGCUCCACCACCUUGCUCGGCUGCCACGACAUCACCCGGCGACCUCCUUCCAUGGCUGCCACGCCUACCCGCUACAAGCCCCCUCACUCUCUCCCAUGGUCUACCCCGCGCCAUUCAUGGGAGUUCAUAGAUCGUCGCUGUGGGAGUCAAUUGGCGCCUCCCCGUGCUUCCCUCUGAGUGUAGCGGCGGCCUCGCCGAAAUUCGUCGAGCGUGAGAGAGUGCUCUGACCAGAAACCCUGGAUUGCCCUCCUCGGUGGCCACAUGGUCGGUCCCUGGUUGAGCAUUCUCGCUGGCGUCAUUGGGUUAUGCGGUUGCAUAUCUGAUUACUAGAUAAAGCACAAGCCAACGAUUAUGCAUGAGUGUUACUGCUGCUAGUAUCUGUUAGCUUUUUUCGAGUGGAUCAUAACGGGUUCUGAUUACAACAUGCUAGUCUGGUUAGUUAAUAUGCUUGCUGGCUUAUGAGUUGAUGUAUUUCUUUGUUGAUUGAAUAUUGUAUAUGUAUUUAGUUACUGCGUGGAAGUUCAUUUGUUCACAUGUAUAUUCACUUUUCGGAUUGGUUUUAGAAUUGCGGGUGAUGAUGCACUGCUUCCGACUGUAUCUGAGACAGUUUCUACAGAUUGUCCAUUCUUAAUUUAUUUGGGAAAAGUUCACUUGUCAGUGUCAGAAAGUUCGUUCCUUGUUUCUUGGAUGAUAACUUUUUGCAAAAACAUUACAGGAAAUAGAUGUAUUUGUUGUUGAUGUGUGGAUAAUAGGAAAAUAUCUCAAGUUCACUUUUCCUAUUGAUGAAAGUGCAGUUUUAUAUUUGCAGGAUUUCGCGGAGCACCAGGCCAUUCUCCUGGCCGUUGGAGUACAUAAAAGUUCAGCAGACCCCCAACAUCCAAGGACAGUACUACGACGGUACUCCAAGACUGGCCCAAUCCCUGAGAUGGUAUACUCUACCUUUUAUUCCAGGAAGUAAAUCUGACAAUACUUAGAGCUCUCUUAAGAUGGCGUUUGGGGCACUUGGUGGAGAUUCAACGAUGAUGUACAUCCCGCGGAUCCGUUGGUGUCAAUGUGUCAGCAUCAUAUACAUCAGGGAAGUGCACUCCAUACAUCCGGGCAGUUCACUCGGUGUGAUAAAAUUUUAGAAUGUUAAAUAAAUCAUUGCACUUGCACAUACCCGCAGUAUGGACACAAAUGGGUAUAGUUGUGACAAAGUUUCUAAGAAGUUGCUACCGAGUUUCUGUGCUAGAACCUGAAGGCAAUCAAAUGUUAGUUUAUUGAUUAUUACUAGUCUUUUAUUGGUCUCGUCCUCCAUAUUUUUAUUUUCUUUCUUCGAAGUGCAUUAUUUGCAUUCAGGAAGUGCACAUGGAUCAAUUUGAUAUUUAUGUUCAAUAUUCGUGAUAAUUUAUCUUCAUUUCUGGAAGUUCACACUUCAUUCCGUAGCAGAUCAGUGUAGGUCUUCUUGGGGCUGA